RNAcentral lists this long non-coding RNA (1324 nucleotides) under Cyanistes caeruleus (blue tit). RNAcentral describes it as "lncRNA (ENSCCEG00000003936.1)". Lineage: Eukaryota; Metazoa; Chordata; Aves; Passeriformes; Paridae. The record is from RNAcentral.
UCCGCCGCGCGCCCCCGCCCGUAGAACGCCGCUCCCUAUUGGCUGAGCCUGUGCGUCGCCAUGGAAACGGCGCAGACCCUCCCUGCUGGGGGGCGACGGGCACCCGGAAAGGCUCUGCCCCCCGUGGAGAUUUUCAUCAGAGAGCUUGGCUGGGCUGGAGCAUCAUCCAGGACACAUCCGAGAGCCUCCUGCAGGGAGCAUCAAGGGCUCGGGACUUCCAUGGAGAGAGCUGCUGGCCUCGCUCCUGGUGCUGUCACGAGGCCUGGGAGCUGCGCUUUCACCGCCAGGGUUUUGAUCAUUGUCUGUCCUUUCUGCUCUGUCUGAACAGAGAGAGAGAGAUUUGAAGUUAUUUCAUUUAAUAUUCAUAUCUUUCACCGCAUCAUUAAGCACCUCCCUCCUUUUCUUGGUUGUGUUUUGUUGUUUGUUUUUUUUGGGUUUUUUUGUGGGGGCUGAAGUGCAGAAUUCCUUUCUGGAAAACACUGUCUGAAAUCUCUAUUUUUUGUGCUUCCUCAGCAGCCAGGCCUGGUGUGCACAGGGAGCACAGGGGAAAGAGCAGCGUGCUCAUGGUGAGCUCCAUGGAAACGUGGAAGAGUCACCGGGAGGGACCAGGUGUCCAUGGGGACAUGGAGAUUCCUGAGGAGCUCAGCCUCAGCCUGGGGGUGGCCUGGCCACCAGGAAAAAGGCUCAAGAGGGGAAGAAGAGAAAGGAAAAAUUAGAAGAGAAAUUUACUUUUCCAAUGUGCAAGGUGGGAUCUCCUUGAGGGAGCCUGUGGGGAAAAGCUCCAAAGUCACAGAGGAUGGGGAAGUCUUUACUGUCCCCCAAUAAUGCAGGAAAGGGGGUCUGAAAAAAAAUCAGGAUACAAAUACUUGGAUAUAAAUACAACAGUCUUCACCCUCCUGUAAUUACAUUUUCUGUGCCUUGUCUCUUGAUUUAUGAGUAGGAUCCUUCUACUUCCACACUGCUCUUGUCCUGAAUCCCAUUCCCAGUCCUUCCAGCAGACAUGAGAGGAGUCAUCCCAUGUUGGGACACCACCUUCACUGUCACUAAAAUAGACUUUUUCUGUAAUGCAGCUUGUCCAGGCUGUCCAACAUAUCCAACAUCGUGUGAAACACUAGCUCAUGAUAAGUAGGAAACAUAAAAUGGUGUAGGAUGCAACUUAAAAAAUGUGUAGGAUACAGCUUAAAAAUGGAGUAGGAUGAUGUAAAAUUCUUCAGAGUUUUUGGUAGUUUAUUGUUCAAAGGAAAAAAAUCUUAGUAGUCCUGGAUAUUCAUUCAUUGAAACCUCUCCAUUUCUUCAGGGAAAUUCAAGCCUCAGUCUUAGGGUU